GCCGGGAGUCGGGCGGACGAGGUCGUCGCCAACCUGGUCAGGUCCUGACGGAAGCAGCCACAGUGAUUUUGCCGCGGGUCGUUCCGGCUCCCACCUUC
Sphingobium sp. GW456-12-10-14-TSB1 is the source of this 98-nucleotide non-coding RNA. NCBI's taxonomy places the organism in Bacteria, Pseudomonadati, Pseudomonadota, Alphaproteobacteria, Sphingomonadales, Sphingobiaceae. The record is from Rfam.